GUCACUGUUGGAGAGCCAUAUAGCACACCGUGAUUGGUGGAUUCCUUCAGCUCCGCCCACAACGCUGUCAAGCACCAUUCAUAUCAAACUCUCACUAACAUUCAACUUUCAUAUUAGCGUGGGAGCCGCAAAAUAAGAUCUCACGUGUCUGAGACCCUGGUCUAAUAUAUAUAUAGAUGUGUCAGAAGUGCUACUGACACUUUGAUCAUGUUUGCUUUUCCUGUCUUUGAAAUCACUUCCUGUCCUGCUGCUCUUAUUUUCUCACUGUUUCCUGUUUGCUCUCUGUCUUUUGUGGCACCUUUACUCUCUGCUCCGUGUCUGCACACCUGUUCCUCGUUUAAUUAGUUGUAUUUAGUUCCACCUGAGUCCCUCCUUCACUGCUUCAUCAUUAUUCUUUUUUGACGGAUGUGGAUCGGACGGGUUUUAUUCGCACGCUACAACAGUACACAAGUCUUACACAAUGUGUUAUGGGUCACGUUCCUGCUUCUCCUCCUGCUGUGCGCACUGUUGAGUGCAUGGCGGAGCACAUCAACAGGUGUUCUCUCUCCGCUGCGGGUGUGCCUCUGCAAGAGAUCUGCAAUCAACACACCUGCCCGUGAUGAGCAACCAGCCUUCAUAAUCCAGCGCGUCUUGAGAUCCGGUGCCAGAACGUAGUUUCUCCUACCAGUACACUUCCUCUUCGUCUACCUGGACCCCCUUUGGAUUCCUUCUUGCCUUCCUGGACCAAGACCUCGCUCCUGCCCUCUGACGUCCAAGCCUUUUUCUCCUUUUGGACUUCCACCUCUAUCUCAACACGCACACUCAACACCCUCUGGUGACCACGCUCAGAUAAUACUUACACAUAGUCACACUCCAUCUCUUUAAGGUAAUCACACACUGCACUCACA
Long non-coding RNA from Nerophis ophidion (straightnose pipefish), 887 nucleotides. RefSeq lists it as uncharacterized. Lineage: Eukaryota; Metazoa; Chordata; Actinopteri; Syngnathiformes; Syngnathidae. The record is from RefSeq and is a predicted model, not a curated record. The transcript is spliced from 3 exons.